UACCGAAUGUACUUAGGCGGUAGAGAAGCUGCUUCCGAAGCUUGGGGCCGCGGGUUCGAAUCCCGCCCAAGGCAA
This 75-nucleotide transfer RNA is filed under the name Plutella xylostella (diamondback moth). Its description in RNAcentral is "tRNA-Arg". The record is from RNAcentral. Lineage: Eukaryota; Metazoa; Arthropoda; Insecta; Lepidoptera; Plutellidae.